RNAcentral lists this ribosomal RNA (919 nucleotides) under Flavobacteriaceae bacterium. Its description in RNAcentral is "bacterial LSU rRNA". It matches the Rfam family "Bacterial large subunit ribosomal RNA", at positions 1 to 936 of the family's 2925-position model. The record is from RNAcentral. Lineage: Bacteria; Pseudomonadati; Bacteroidota; Flavobacteriia; Flavobacteriales; Flavobacteriaceae.
CGACAAGCUGCAAAAGGGCGUAUGGGGAAUGCCUAGGCUCUCAGAGGCGAAGAAGGACGCGAUAAGCUGCGAAAAGCUGCGGGGAUCGGCACACACGAUAUGAUCCGCAGAUAUCCGAAUGGGGCAACCCGGCUGGUUGAAGGCCAGUCACACCGCAAGGUGGGCAAACCCGGUGAACUGAAACAUCUAAGUAACCGGAGGAGGAGAAAACAAAAGUGAUUCCGAUAGUAGCGGCGAGCGAAAUCGGAUUAGUCCAAACCAAUGUUGUUUCGGCAAUAUUGGGGUUGUAGGACCACGAUAUUUGGUGUGUUAUGAAUCAGAAUCCUUUGGAAAGAGGAGCCAUAGAAGGUGAUAGCCCUGUAAGAGUAAAGACCAUUACCGAUAGUGGUAUCCUGAGUAGUGCGGGGCACGUGAAACCCUGUAUGAAUCCGGCGGGACCAUCCGCCAAGACUAAAUACUCCUGAGAGACCGAUAGUGAACCAGUACCGUGAGGGAAAGGUGAAAAGAACCGUGAAUAACGGAGUGAAAUAGAUCCUGAAACCAUACGCCUACAAGCGGUCGGAGCCCUUCGGGGUGACGGCGUGCCUUUUGCAUAAUGAGCCUACGAGUUACUGUUGCUAGCAAGGUUAAGGACUUCAGGUCCGGAGCCGUAGCGAAAGCGAGUCUGAAUAGGGCGCCAUAGUUAGUAGUAGUAGACGCGAAACCGAGCGAUCUACCCAUGGGCAGGUUGAAGCUGUAGUAACAUAUAGUGGAGGACCGAACCCGUUGACGUUGAAAAGUCUUGGGAUGACCUGUGGGUAGGGGUGAAAGGCCAAUCAAGCUCGGAAAUAGCUCGUACUCCCCGAAAUGCAUUUAGGUGCAGCGUUUAAAUAGUUUUAUAGAGGUAGAGCUACUGAUUGGAUGCGGGGGCUUCACCGCC